GGGGGGGCUUAAACUGCAAGUCGAGCGGGGAAAGGUAGCUUGCUACCUUUCCUAGCGGCGGACGGGUGAGUAAUGCUUAGGAAUCUGCCUAUUAGUGGGGGACAACAUUCCGAAAGGAAUGCUAAUACCGCAUACGCCCUACGGGGGAAAGCAGGGGAUCUUCGGACCUUGCGCUAAUAGAUGAGCCUAAGUCAGAUUAGCUAGUUGGUGGGGUAAAGGCCUACCAAGGCGACGAUCUGUAGCGGGUCUGAGAGGAUGAUCCGCCACACUGGGACUGAGACACGGCCCAGACUCCUACGGGAGGCAGCAGUGGGGAAUAUUGGACAAUGGGCGAAAGCCUGAUCCAGCCAUGCCGCGUGUGUGAAGAAGGCCUUUUGGUUGUAAAGCACUUUAAGCGAGGAGGAGGCUACCGAGAUUAAUACUCUUGGAUAGUGGACGUUACUCGCAGAAUAAGCACCGGCUAACUCUGUGCCAGCAGCCGCGGUAAUACAGAGGGUGCGAGCGUUAAUCGGAUUUACUGGGCGUAAAGCGUGCGUAGGCGGCUUUUUAAGUCGGAUGUGAAAUCCCUGAGCUUAACUUAGGAAUUGCAUUCGAUACUGGGAAGCUAGAGUAUGGGAGAGGAUGGUAGAAUUCCAGG
RNAcentral lists this ribosomal RNA (637 nucleotides) under bacterium 14W233. Its description in RNAcentral is "bacterial SSU rRNA". It matches the Rfam family "Bacterial small subunit ribosomal RNA", at positions 41 to 673 of the family's 1533-position model. The record is from RNAcentral.